GAUGAACGCUGGCGGCGUGCCUAAUACAUGCAAGUCGAGCGAACAGACGAGGAGCUUGCUCCUCUGACGUUAGCGGCGGACGGGUGAGUAACACGUGGAUAACCUACCUAUAAGACUGGGAUAACUUCGGGAAACCGGAGCUAAUACCGGAUAAUAUAUUGAACCGCAUGGUUCAAUAGUGAAAGACGGUUUUGCUGUCACUUAUAGAUGGAUCCGCGCCGCAUUAGCUAGUUGGUAAGGUAACGGCUUACCAAGGCAACGAUGCGUAGCCGACCUGAGAGGGUGAUCGGCCACACUGGAACUGAGAUACGGUUCAGACUCCUACGGGAGGCAGCAGUAGGGAAUCUUCCGCAAUGGGCGAAAGCCUGACGGAGCAACGCCGCGUGAGUGAUGAAGGUCUUCGGAUCGUAAAACUCUGUUAUUAGGGAAGAACAAAUGUGUAAGUAACUAUGCACGUCUUGACGGUACCUAAUCAGAAAGCCACGGCUAACUACGUG
Molecule: ribosomal RNA, 497 nt
Filed under: uncultured bacterium
Lineage: Bacteria
Description: partial 16S ribosomal RNA
Rfam family: Bacterial small subunit ribosomal RNA
Source: RNAcentral